AACGAACGCUGGCGGCAUGCCUAACACAUGCAAGUCGAACGCCCUCUUCGGAGGGAGUGGCGCACGGGUGCGUAACGCGUGGGAACCUGCCCUUAGGUUCGGAAUAACUCAGAGAAAUUUGAGCUAAUACCGGAUAAUGUCUUCGGACCAAAGAUUUAUCGCCUUUGGAUGGGCCCGCGUUGGAUUAGCUAGUUGGUGGGGUAAAGGCCUACCAAGGCGACGAUCCAUAGCUGGUCUGAGAGGAUGAUCAGCCACACUGGGACUGAGACACGGCCCAGACUCCUACGGGAGGCAGCAGUGGGGAAUAUUGGACAAUGGGCGAAAGCCUGAUCCAGCAAUGCCGCGUGAGUGAUGAUGGCCUUAGGGUUGUAAAGCUCUUUCGUGGGGGAAGAUAAUGACGGUACCCCAAGAAGAAGCCCCGGCUAACUCCGUGCCAGCAGCCGCGGUAAU
This 450-nucleotide ribosomal RNA is filed under the name uncultured bacterium. RNAcentral describes it as "bacterial SSU rRNA". It matches the Rfam family "Bacterial small subunit ribosomal RNA", at positions 29 to 524 of the family's 1533-position model. The record is from RNAcentral.